This 28-nucleotide non-coding RNA is filed under the name Mus musculus (house mouse). Lineage: Eukaryota; Metazoa; Chordata; Mammalia; Rodentia; Muridae. The record is from RNAcentral.
CUGGGAGAAAUACUUGCCUGCUGGGCUG